UACGUAGGGUGCAAGCGUUGUCCGGAAUUAUUGGGCGUAAAGAGCUCGUAGGCGGUUUGUCGCGUCUGCUGUGAAAACUCGGGGCUUAACCCCGGGCCUGCAGUGGGUACGGGCAGACUAGAGUGCGGUAGGGGAGACUGGAAUUCCUGGUGUAGCGGUGAAAUGCAUUGAGAUCGGAAAGAACACCAACGGCGAGAGCACUCUGCUGGGCCGACACUGACACUGAGAGACGAAAGCUAGGGGAGCAAAUGGG
Molecule: ribosomal RNA, 253 nt
Filed under: uncultured bacterium
Lineage: Bacteria
Description: partial 16S ribosomal RNA
Rfam family: Bacterial small subunit ribosomal RNA
Source: RNAcentral